AGGAUAAACGCUGGCGGCGUGCCUAACACAUGCAAGUCGAACGUCCUUGCGGUCUUCUUCUUCGGAGGAGGACCGCGAGGGAGUGGCGGACGGGUGAGUAACACAUGGGUACCUGCCUUUCAGUGAGGAAUACCGGCGAGAAAUCGCCGACAAGACCGCAUAGGCUUCCUUCGGUAGCCCGAGGGAAGCAAAGUUACUUCGCGAGAGGUGACGCUGGAAGAGGGGCCUGUGGCCGAUUAGCUAGUUGGGGGGUAACGGCCUCCCAAGGCGACGAUCGGUAGCUGGUCUGAGAGGACGAUCAGCCACACUGGGAUUGAGAACGGCCCAGACUCCUACGGGGGGCAGCAGUGAGGAAUUUUCCGCAAUGGACGAAAGUCUGACGGAGCAACGCCGCGUGCAGGAGGAAGGUUUUCGGAUCGUAAACUGCUUUUCUCGGGGACGAGCAAGGACGGUACCCGAGGAAGAAGCCCGGCUAACUACGUGCCAGCAGCCGC
This 494-nucleotide ribosomal RNA is filed under the name uncultured bacterium. Its description in RNAcentral is "SSU rRNA". It matches the Rfam family "Bacterial small subunit ribosomal RNA", at positions 26 to 518 of the family's 1533-position model. The record is from RNAcentral.